CAAAGGAAAGGAAGUGGAAUCGAAGCAAGGGUAGGAGCCACCGCUAUUACAGUGCACAUCCUAGGGAGAAUAUUAUUAUGCUGCUGCAAACUUUUUUUUUUGUUCCACUAAGAAUUAAAGCUGGGAUGGCUCGACCUUUUAUUUGUAUUUGUAUAAUGUGAAAGGUAUCUUUGCUUUCUUUUUUUAUCCAUCCAUCUUAGUGUGCAGGGAUCAAUAAUGCCAUUCGACCAAUAGCAUAUUGUGACUGUUGUUGUCCAUUUUGUGUCUAGCUUGAUUUGAACAAUUGAUGUAUCUUGAAAUAGCCAAUGUAUCCCUAGAAUCACAAUCACCUCGUAUAAAUGGAAGUGCAUCUUGCAAGUGGAAGACUAUUACUCAUGAUAAGAGACUAAAUGAGAACAGCACUAUGUAUAAGAGUUAUAGUAACAAAACAUCGGGAAACCAUUUAUAUUUUUUAGGAAGAAAUCGCACUCAUUACUAUCUUUAUUUUUAUUUUUCUUCAUAAGUUGUAGUGCUAUACCUUUACUAUUUUCAACCACUAUCUCUACCAUGUAGAUAUCCACAUUAAACUGCCUCACCAUACACCUCAACAAAGUAACAAGAGGACAUAUAUAAAAAAAGUCAAUAUACUUACCACGUUGGGAAUAGAUUCUUAGGAGUGGGAAGGGAGUUAUGUAUGGUCGAGUUUUUUCAACAAAUUUUAGCUAAAAAUGAGAAAUUGACUUGAUUUAAUGUUUUUGCUCUUGAGUUGUACCUAGAUAUUUGACUUAAAAGUUUGGCUUUCUCAAUUGUGAAGUUAAAUUUUCCAGCGGAAGUCUUAUAGUUAAUUUAUAGAGACCUUUUGAUUUGUAACCCUUCAAUUUUGAUUACCAAAUGAUAAUAGUCAAUAGGUACCUAGGUGAUUUUAGCCCUUCGAUAUUGACUAGCUAAGCAAAUGACUAGAAGUAGCAAG
RNAcentral lists this long non-coding RNA (949 nucleotides) under Setaria viridis. RNAcentral's name for it is "long non-coding RNA (SVIR_LNC005897)". The record is from RNAcentral. Lineage: Eukaryota; Viridiplantae; Streptophyta; Magnoliopsida; Poales; Poaceae.